This 730-nucleotide ribosomal RNA is filed under the name uncultured bacterium. RNAcentral describes it as "bacterial SSU rRNA". It matches the Rfam family "Bacterial small subunit ribosomal RNA", at positions 771 to 1501 of the family's 1533-position model. The record is from RNAcentral.
AACAGGAUUAGAUACCCUGGUAGUCCACGCCGUAAACGAUGUCGACUUGGAGGUUGUGCCCUUGAGGCGUGGCUUCCGGAGCUAACGCGUUAAGUCGACCGCCUGGGGAGUACGGCCGCAAGGUUAAAACUCAAAUGAAUUGACGGGGGCCCGCACAAGCGGUGGAGCAUGUGGUUUAAUUCGAUGCAACGCGAAGAACCUUACCUACUCUUGACAUCCAGAGAACUUAGCAGAGAUGCUUCGGUGCCUUCGGGAACUCUGAGACAGGUGCUGCAUGGCCGUCGUCAGCUCGUGUUGUGAAAUGUUGGGUUAAGUCCCGCAACGAGCGCAACCCUUAUCCUUUGUUGCCAGCGGUUAGGCCGGGAACUCAAAGGAGACUGCCAGUGAUAAACUGGAGGAAGGUGGGGAUGACGUCAAGUCAUCAUGGCCCUUACGAGUAGGGCUACACACGUGCUACAAUGGCAUAUACAAAGAGAAGCGACCUCGCGAGAGCAAGCGGACCUCAUAAAGUAUGUCGUAGUCCGGAUUGGAGUCUGCAACUCGACUCCAUGAAGUCGGAAUCGCUAGUAAUCGUGGAUCAGAAUGCCACGGUGAAUACGUUCCCGGGCCUUGUACACACCGCCCGUCACACCAUGGGAGUGGGUUGCAAAAGAAGUAGGUAGCUUAACCUUCGGGAGGGCGCUUACCACUUUGUGAUUCAUGACUGGGGUGAAGUCGUAACAAGGUAACC